RNAcentral lists this ribosomal RNA (253 nucleotides) under uncultured bacterium. RNAcentral describes it as "partial 16S ribosomal RNA". It matches the Rfam family "Bacterial small subunit ribosomal RNA", at positions 524 to 776 of the family's 1533-position model. The record is from RNAcentral.
UACGUAGGGGGCAAGCGUUGUCCGGAUUUAUUGGGCGUAAAGAGCGUGUAGGCGGCCAUACAGGUCCGUUGUGAAAACUGGAGGCUUAACCUCCAGACGUCGAUGGAAACCGUAUGGCUAGAGUCCGGAAGAGGAGAGUGGAAUUCCUGGUGUAGCGGUGAAAUGCGCAGAUAUCAGGAAGAACACCCGUGGCGAAGGCGGCUCUCUGGGACGGUACUGACGCUGAGACGCGAAAGCGUGGGGAGCAAACAGG